Molecule: long non-coding RNA, 1373 nt
Organism: Felis catus (domestic cat)
Lineage: Eukaryota; Metazoa; Chordata; Mammalia; Carnivora; Felidae
Exons: 3
Source: RefSeq, a predicted model, not a curated record
AACCCCCAGGACCACCAUCACUGUGAAUGAACAUGAAGUGAUGUUUGGCUAGCCAAGAGUCAGUGCAUGUCAGGCUAAUUUAUGAUAAUUACCAAGCCAUCGGCUGGUACCUGGACAAACUGUCUAUGAUUCUUCACCCAGCUGGCCUAGGUUCCACAAGUUCCCAAAGGGCUGUUCUUCCAGAUCCUCCAGUGCCUCACUCCCCUGUAAUGGGGUGAUAUGUCCACCAUCCUUGCCAUGUGACUUUGCAGUACCUCCCCCUAGAACAGACCAAGCAUGCCUCCCCACCAGACUGAUGUUGGGUUUGGCCGUGGGUCAGCUAAUGGAAUGUUGGUAGAACAUGUGGCAGUUAGGAGCCAAAGUCUUAAGAGCCAUCACACGUUUCCACUCGACAUCUUCUGCUGGAGUGAGCUGCCAUGCGAUGAACCUGUACUAGAGCACCUGUGGCCUCCUUAGCCCAAGCAAGCUCCAAAUCCCAGUGGAAAGCUCAGGCCUCUCCCGAAGGACCCAGGACCUCAGAAACUCUGAGCUGCUCUCCUCAACGCUUUAAUCUCUUCUUGCUGAAGCCGCCCACCCUAUUACUAAGAAACCGCUGCAGCUGCUACAGAUAGAAGAAACACAGGGACAUCAAGUUAUGAAAGGCCAACUGACUUCCAUCCUUCCUUCCGUGAAAUUUCACCAAGCACCCACCUGCUACUAGAUCCAAGGAUACAAAGCCAGUGGAGAACCCCCCUCCUCUUUAUAGGGUUGUUCACAGGUUUGUGGGAGUUGAGCAGGUACGCAAAGAGCUCCAAUGGUGUUCUGUGAGAUAAAGGCCUCUGCAAGCAAGCCUUUUUUGGUCAAAGAAAUGAAGAGCCAGUGUGGAAACCAGAUGUCUGGGUCUGAAGAGGCCAUCUCAGUCAUUAGUAGCACAGCAAAGGGCCACACUAGUUUGAACCCUGGAUCCUACUAUCUGGUAGGUGCACAACUUUGACAACUUACCCAGUUUCUCAUGGCCUUGUUUCCCUCACCUGUAAAAUGGGUUUAUGGUAGCACUUGUUUCCUAGAGUUGUUAUAUUAAGAACCUCUCAGACAAGGCUGGCAGUAAGUACUCUAGGAUGAUUUGCUGCAAUCAUGAGAAUUAACUCAUCUAGGUCAGGUCUCUGGAGAAAUCUGAAGCCCGCCCUGCCCUCUCUCUUCUGUCUACCACCCAGCUGCCUCUCACCCAAGAAGCUGGACUCACUGCAGGGACCCAGUCCUGUAGUGAGAGGCAGUCAUGUCCUGAGCAGGCCAGACACCAGGGAACCAGUGGCUUUAAUCCCUCCCCACUCCCCAUUUGCCCUCUUCCUCCUCCUCACCCUAUACCCUCACCACCCCCACCUAACGCCCCCCCC